GGGGAAUAUUGGGCAAUGGGCGAAAGCCUGACCCAGCGACGCCGCGUGGGUGAUGAAGGCCUUCGGGUUGUAAAGCCCUGUCAUGCGGAAAGAACGACCCUGAGACGCAUACUCUCAGGGAGUGACGGUACCGCAGGAGGAAGCACCGGCUAACUCCGUGCCAGCAGCCGCGGUAAUACGGAGGGUGCAAGCGUUGUUCGGAAUUAUUGGGCGUAAAGGGCGCGUAGGCGGUAAUGUAAGUCAGAUGUGAAAUACUCCGGCUCAACCAGAGAACAGCAUCUGAAACUGCAUAACUAGAGUACAGAAGAGGGAAACGGAAUUCCCGGUGUAGAGGUGAAAUUCGUAGAUAUCGGGAGGAACACCAGUGGCGAAGGCGGUUUCCUGGUCUGAUACUGACGCUGAGGCGCGAAAGCGUGGAGAGCAAACAG
This 428-nucleotide ribosomal RNA is filed under the name uncultured bacterium. RNAcentral describes it as "bacterial SSU rRNA". It matches the Rfam family "Bacterial small subunit ribosomal RNA", at positions 356 to 775 of the family's 1533-position model. The record is from RNAcentral.